RNAcentral lists this ribosomal RNA (253 nucleotides) under uncultured bacterium. RNAcentral's name for it is "partial 16S ribosomal RNA". It matches the Rfam family "Bacterial small subunit ribosomal RNA", at positions 524 to 776 of the family's 1533-position model. The record is from RNAcentral.
UACGUAGGUGGCAAGCGUUGUCCGGAUUUACUGGGCGUAAAGAGCGCGCAGGCGGUCGUUCAAGUCGCGUGUGAAAGCCCCCGGCUCAACUGGGGAGGGUCACGCGAUACUGAUCGACUCGAAGGCAGGAGAGGGAAGUGGAAUUCCCGGUGUAGUGGUGAAAUGCGUAGAGAUCAGCAGGAACACCCGUGGCGAAGGCGGCCCCCUGGGCCGUACCUGACGCUGAGGCGCGAAGGCUAGGGGAGCGAACGGG